This 396-nucleotide ribosomal RNA is filed under the name uncultured bacterium. RNAcentral's name for it is "partial 16S ribosomal RNA". It matches the Rfam family "Bacterial small subunit ribosomal RNA", at positions 523 to 918 of the family's 1533-position model. The record is from RNAcentral.
AUACGUAGGGAGCGAGCGUUGUCCGGAAUUACUGGGUGUAAAGGGAGCGUAGGCGGGACUGCAAGUCAGAUGUGAAAUACCGGGGCUUAACCCCGGAGCUGCAUUUGAAACUGUGGUUCUUGAGUGUAGUAGAGGCAAGCGGAAUUCCUGGUGUAGCGGUGAAAUGCGUAGAUAUCAGGAGGAACACCGGUGGCGAAGGCGGCUUGCUGGGCUUUUACUGACGCUGAGGCUCGAAAGCGUGGGUAGCAAACAGGAUUAGAUACCCUGGUAGUCCACGCUGUAAACGAUGAUUACUAGGUGUGGGGGGACUGACCCCAUCCGUGCCGCAGUUAACACAAUAAGUAAUCUACCUGGGGAGUACGGCCGCAAGGUUGAAACUCAAAUGAAUUGGCGGGG